CAUUUUGCGGCGGGCGUGGCGGAUGAUGGCGCGGAGCCGCGCUGCGCAAGGAGAUCAGCUCAGCCUUCACGGGCGGGGCCGAGGCGGGGCUUGGGCCACGCGGCACAUCCCUCACUUCCCCGCGUGUUCAGAGAGAAGCAGAAAGGUUUACUAUCCCACGGGAUAGACCCACCCAGAGCCCAGCCCUGGAACUUCCCCCUUGUAAGGAGUGAUCUUACUUCCCAAGCCAGCUAGGCCCCGAGCGAGCAGAGCUUACCAUCCCGAGACAUCCCCACAGCAAGGCAUUUCUGUA
Molecule: long non-coding RNA, 292 nt
Organism: Malurus melanocephalus (red-backed fairy wren)
Lineage: Eukaryota; Metazoa; Chordata; Aves; Passeriformes; Maluridae
Exons: 3
Source: RefSeq, a predicted model, not a curated record